RNAcentral lists this ribosomal RNA (1038 nucleotides) under Triticum aestivum (bread wheat). RNAcentral describes it as "partial small subunit ribosomal RNA". Lineage: Eukaryota; Viridiplantae; Streptophyta; Magnoliopsida; Poales; Poaceae. The record is from RNAcentral.
AUGACUUCCGGAGAGCUACAAGAAGAGAGAGACGCAUUGGAGGUGUGUCUACUGAAUUUAAUUUAUGAAAUGAUCUGUAUUUCCUCUCUGAGCUGCACCGCGAAGGAGACAGGGACGAGCGGCAGGCCGGCGACCAGCUGCGCAUCUCUCUUCUUCGUUGCUGAUUCCUGCCCAGGAUUUGCAACCAGGAUGUUGUGCGCAGUUUUCUUCUCUCAUUGCGCGUCGGACAACGACACGACAUUCGGCAUGUUUUUCCGGGAUCCGAAUGAAAGACUUGUGCUACUGCCAUGCUCUGUGACAGAGCGUUUCCCCAAGCACUUUGCUAGUGACUUUCUGAACUUUCGAGCUCAUGGCCACCGGUACGUUGUUUAUGUGUACACAGGAUCUGACAACAAGAAACGUAUCGGUGGCGAUGACUUGUCGAAGUUCAUGAAGGACUUCAACUUGGGGCUUGGGCAGCUUGUUGUUUUUGUGAUGACUGGGUGCAUUGCAAAAGCAUUUGUCUGCUCCUUCGGUGCUGGCUUUAUUGAUGGAGGUGGAGCUGGAGUAGCACAACAAGAGGAAGAGCAAGGAGGUGCUGACGAAGAGGGACAUGUGGAUGAGGAGGGGAUUGACGUAGAGAUCAUGGGAGAAGCACCCAUAGGCAUCAUAUACAGCAUGGGUGUAAGUUUGGAUUUGGAGGAGGAAGGCCGUCUUGCCAUGAUGAUUGACAUUGAGCAGGGGAACAUUGCUUCACGGUUUGUUCAUCGGUUCACAAGCACCAACAUCAUGAAGAAGUCAAUGAAAAUCCCAAACCAAGUGUGUGUGCUCCUGAAUAUUGGAGCUGAAGGAUUUAUUGGAGUUCGCUUGGGAGAAGGCCCGCUCUCAAGGGUUGCAUUCAAAACAGCCAAGGAUGGACGCAUGGUGUUCAAUAAGGAGUGGGGAGUUUUCGUGUCAACCUACAACUUGCAAGUAGGGAGUGCUGCUAUGUUCACCUUCAGUAGGAGCAAUGCUGCCCCCUUUGAUGUGGUCUGUGUUGUUGACAUCCUGAGCAUAUGA